AAAACAAAACUGUGGGCGCAUGUGCAUAGAACAGAUACUGGAAUAAAAUGCUCCCGAAUGUUAAUAUUCUAGUGAAGAGGAUAAAGAAUGAAUUUCCUUUUUCUUUUCUGCAUGUGUGUCUAUUCUCCAAAUCUGCUUCAAGAACUUGAAAGAUGGAGUGCCCAUCGUGGCUCAGUGGUUAACGAACCCGACUAGAAACCAUGAGGUUGCGGUUCGAUCCCUGGCCUUGCUCAGUGGGUUAAGGAUCCGGCAUUGCCGUGAGCUGUGGUGUCAGCUGAAGACGCCGCUCGGAUCCCGCGUUGCUGUGGCUCUGGUGUAGGCUGGUGGCCACGGCUCCGAUUAGACCCCUCGCCUGAGAAUCUCCAUAUGCCAUGGGAUCGGCCCUAGAAAAGGCAAAAAGACAAAAAAAGAAAAAAAAAGAAGUUGAAAGAUAAGAAAAACAUCGAAAGGGAAACCGGACGCCUGCUGUCCAACAGACCUGGACCUCGGGGAGGGCUGGUCUAGGAUGGCCACAAAUGGCCAGCAGGCUCCCUGGGGAAGUAGCCAUUUGGCUGAACACAAAAGGACCCGCGGCUGGCCUGCCAAGUGUGAGCAUCUUUGGGUGCAGCUUUCUUCUAUUGGAUCUUUCCAAGGACCUUGGUUUUCAGAGACACACCAACCAGCUGUCCUGCUCUCACUCACUUCUCAUUGGUGAGGCAGUUACAACUGGAAGCUGUGGGUUCGGGGGUGGACCUCACUGAGCCGGCAGGAGGACCUCUAUAGCACUAGGCGGUAGCCAGCCGGCCUGGAACAUUCAGGACGUGGUGACAUCCACUAUUCUGCCUUCCCAAAGAAGGGAGAAUGUUUCUAAGUCCAGAGAAUCCGCUGAAUGGAGACCAGGAAGGCACUCCCGACUGUUUUGUUCCCAUUUU
This 911-nucleotide long non-coding RNA is filed under the name Sus scrofa (pig). Its description in RNAcentral is "lncRNA (ENSSSCG00015043667.1)". The record is from RNAcentral. Lineage: Eukaryota; Metazoa; Chordata; Mammalia; Artiodactyla; Suidae.